This is a long non-coding RNA of Pseudomyrmex gracilis, 1222 nucleotides long. RefSeq lists it as uncharacterized. The transcript is spliced from 4 exons. The record is from RefSeq and is a predicted model, not a curated record. NCBI's taxonomy places the organism in Eukaryota, Metazoa, Arthropoda, Insecta, Hymenoptera, Formicidae.
CGUCUUACUUUUAAGCUGUGUCAUCAUUGAUAAUUGCAAGUCUCCUGUGAAGUUGUGAACACACAUAAUGAGUGUUGACGAAUUUACGUCAAGUGAAAAAGAUUUCGAUUCGUGUGAUAAUUCGUCGCAAUCCACCGUCAAUCACGAAAGCAUGCUAUGCACGUGGUCUCAUCUUCGCGAUUUUUUUUAAUUUAACACUCACGAUAAAAAACCGGAAAAUUGUCAUUUCAGUGCAUCUUGUGUAAACCCCCCCAAAAAUAUAUAUCGGCGUCAGUGUCUUCAAACUCGAAUUUGAAAACGCACAUCAAGCAUAUACAUCAUAGUAACUUGGACGAUUUUAACAAAGCUUUGAAAAAUGGACUACAAGCAGGUAAAAGAAAUUUGAUACACAAACAAUUUGAUGAAUCAAAGUUAAAGCAAAGAAGAUUGGAUAGUUUAAAUAAAAAUAAUUUUUUAACUAAGCAAAAGUUUGACCAAGCCACUUUAAAACUCAUUAUAAAUACUGCAUCUGCAUUCUCACUUGUCGAGCACGAAGCAUUCAUUGAAUUUUGUAAAACAACAAUUCAGCAAACGCCUAUGACUCGCAAAACUCUCAUGACGCAUAUCGAUAAAACGUUCGAAAAAAUGAAAAUGGACCUGAUCGAAGAGCUAAAGAAAAAAGAUUGGGUGUGUGUAACAGCAGAUUGCUGGACGGCAGUUAGAAGAUCCUACUUGGGGAUGACAGUACAUUGGUUGGAUCAUGAUAGUCUAGAGAGAAAGUCAAAAGGUCUUGCGUGCCGUCGACUUCAAGGAAGACAUACGAUGUUCUUGCAAGAGCAAUUGAAUUGAUAUUAAUUGAAUUUAAUAUUCAAGAUAAGACAACAUGUGUUGUAACGGAUAAUGCUAGAAAUUUUGAAAAAGCUUCCAGAGUGUACAGUGAAAUUGAAGAAGAAGAUAAAAUAGAAAACGAACCUGAAGAAGAUCUAGAAUCGGUUGAAAUAUCGGAAUUUUUGGCUAAUAGUGAAGAAAGCUAUAGAUUACCACCUCAACAGAGAUGUGCUUCUCAUACAUUGAAUUUAGUUAGUACCGUUGAUACGGCUUGUGCUGAGAAAGAUACUAAUUAUAAAGGAAUUAGCAGAAGGACAUUUGCAAAAUGUCAAACUAUUUUUAACAAACAAAAUCAAUCAUCUGUCGUAGCAGAUAUGGGUAAAAAAAGUCUUAGAAAAUAUUUAAAAGUUCCAAA